CCUACGGGAGGCAGCAGUGGGGAAUAUUGCGCAAUGGGCGAAAGCCUGACGCAGCGACGCCGCGUGAGGGAUGAAGGUCUUCGGAUCGUAAACCUCUGUCAGCAGGGAAGAACGGUCACUGUGCUAAUCAGCAGUGAAUUGACGGUACCUGCAAAGGAAGCACCGGCUAACGCCGUGCCAGCAGCCGCGGUAAUACGGAGGGUGCGAGCGUUAAUCGGAAUUACUGGGCGUAAAGCGCUCGUAGGCGGUAUGUCAAGUCAAGGGUGAAAUCCCCGCGCUCAACGUGGGAACUGCAUUUGAAACUGGCAAACUGGAGUGUGUGAGAGGAGAGUGGAAGUCCAGGUGUAGGGGUGAAAUCCGUAGAUAUCUGGAGGAACAUCAGUGGCGAAGGCGACUAUCUGGAACAUAACUGACGCUGAGGAGCGAAAGCGUGGGUAGCAAACAGGAUUAGAUACCCGAGUAGUC
Molecule: ribosomal RNA, 465 nt
Filed under: uncultured bacterium
Lineage: Bacteria
Description: partial 16S ribosomal RNA
Rfam family: Bacterial small subunit ribosomal RNA
Source: RNAcentral